GAGGUAGGUAAAGACGAAGGUAGUUAGUGGACGUAACGUAACUUGUCGACACAACGACCAAACAAAAAAGACCAACACAUGACGAAAGGGGAAAAGAACAUUAAGUGCUGAGUGACAAAACUAGUGGCGGACGGGUGAGUAACGCGUGGGACAACCUACCCAUAAGAGGGGGAUAACAGCUGGAAACGGCUGCUAAUACCGCAUAAGCUUACCGGGACACAUGUAUUGGUAAGUAAAGGAGGCUUAGGCUUUCGCUUAUGGAUGGGCCCGCGUCUGAUUAGCUAGUUGGUAGGGUAACGGCCUACCAAGGCGACGAUCAGUAGCCGGCCUGAGAGGGUGGACGGCCACACUGGGACUGAGACACGGCCCAGACUCCUACGGGAGGCAGCAGUGGGGAAUAUUGCGCAAUGGGGGAAACCCUGACGCAGCGACGCCGCGUGAGCGAAGAAGGCCUUCGGGUUGUAAAGCUCUGUUGUAAGGGACGAAGGAGCUGGGUAGUAACUGACCUGGCGGUGACGGUACCUUACCAGCAAGCCCCGGCUAACUACGUG
Molecule: ribosomal RNA, 551 nt
Filed under: uncultured bacterium
Lineage: Bacteria
Description: bacterial SSU rRNA
Rfam family: Bacterial small subunit ribosomal RNA
Source: RNAcentral